Molecule: ribosomal RNA, 268 nt
Filed under: uncultured Glomus
Lineage: Eukaryota; Fungi; Glomeromycota; Glomeromycetes; Glomerales; Glomeraceae
Description: partial 18S ribosomal RNA
Rfam family: Eukaryotic small subunit ribosomal RNA
Source: RNAcentral
UUGGAGGGCAAGUCUGGUGCCAGCAGCCGCGGUAAUUCCAGCUCCAAUAGCGUAUAUUAAAGUUGUUGCAGUUAAAAAGCUCGUAGUUGAAUUUCGGGAUCAGACUGUCGGUCGUGCCUCGGUACGCACUGGCAUUAUUGGUUCCUACCUUCUGAAGAACCGCGAUGUCAUUAAUUUGGUGUCGCGGGGAAUCAGGACUGUUACUUUGAAAAAAUUAGAGUGUUUAAAGCAGGCUUACGCUUGAAUACAUUAGCAUGGAAUAAUGAAA